GUGAGACCUUUUAUUGAUCCACGUACGAUGAUCAAAAUGACAGACCGUCGAUCCAGUGAUGGACCGUCGCACAAGACGUCCCAGGUCCCGUUUAGCAAAUUAAAUCAAUUUUUAAAAGGGUAUUUGGGUCUUUUCCCACCCGUUUUAACUCUUAAUAAUAUCAUAUCAAGGGUCAUAAUUCUAUUAUCCAUUUACAACAUCAAAUUAGGGUUCUCUCUAAAAAAUAAUCCCCAAGAACAAG
This 241-nucleotide long non-coding RNA is filed under the name Capsicum annuum. RNAcentral's name for it is "long non-coding RNA (CANN_LNC013541)". The record is from RNAcentral. Lineage: Eukaryota; Viridiplantae; Streptophyta; Magnoliopsida; Solanales; Solanaceae.